CAGAGCAAAAAGCUGAAGCCAGAGAGUGUGUUGCUGGAGGACGACAGCCACCUCUGCAUUGACGACGAGUUCUGGACACCCGUUACCAGAAAACAGCCUUCACAUUGCCAUUUUCAGUCCAAAAUGGUGCUGCUUCAGGACACAGUGUUCAUGUGCACAUACAUACGCAUAUGUGUGCACAGUUACACUUGAAAACCAGCAGAUGUUACCUGUGCCUGUUGUGCAUCCUCGACUCCAGUCGCUCGACACUGAACCUCCUUCGUGGGAGGCUAUGACCCGAUACAGUGCUGGACAUUUUUGUUAAUGUUUGUAACCCCUGUGUUGGGGAGGUGGAGACAGAAGAUCCCUGGGGUUUCCUGGCCAGCCAGUCUAGCCAACCAGAGAGACCCAGGGAGUCUGCAGAGGCACGAAGGAGGUUUACAGGCAUCAACUGAGGAAGCGGGAGACUCGGGCCCCAGCCUGGAGGUGGCACUGCUGAGCGCGCCUGCGGGGUCCUGCUGUGGUUUCCUUCAGUAGGAACAGAAAGGAUGACACCAUUAUCUGUGUGCCACCAAACACUCCCCAGGCCACUUCAAAACUUGGAUGAAUGUGACAAUAAAAAGUCGAGAAAAAAUU
Molecule: long non-coding RNA, 615 nt
Organism: Peromyscus eremicus (cactus mouse)
Lineage: Eukaryota; Metazoa; Chordata; Mammalia; Rodentia; Cricetidae
Exons: 4
Source: RefSeq, a predicted model, not a curated record